Molecule: long non-coding RNA, 1070 nt
Organism: Drosophila sulfurigaster albostrigata
Lineage: Eukaryota; Metazoa; Arthropoda; Insecta; Diptera; Drosophilidae
Exons: 2
Source: RefSeq, a predicted model, not a curated record
CCGCGAUAGCUGAACUGUGAGCCCUUGAUGUGUAUGGAUUGCUGAUAGCCCGAUAGGAACCAAGAGCCUUCCCAACGUGCCGGAAAUGUGCAAUUUGUGGGCGCUGCAAAUACACGAAGAGAAGAGAAAUGAAAAUUCCAAAUAACUGAAGGUACAUUUGAAUUGCACAACAAUUGGGCCUGAGGCAUGCAUGUGACCUCAAUUGUUGCUCAGCUCUCCUCUUCCCAUUGUUCAUUUAACGACACGAAGGCGAAGACGAAGACGCAGCAGCAGCAGCAACAUCGCCAUAAAAGAGCAGUUCCAAAUAUGUUUCAAUAUAAUAUAAACAAUCUCAGCAUUUUCCACAGUGAAUUGAGCAAUGCGACCGCCGACCCGCCCGAAAAUUCAGUUGUUCACUUCACUUUCUUGUGGCAUUGCUCGUCGUCUAAUUGUAAUGUCAAUUUUUAUGCCAAGAUUUGUGGCUUUUUAAUUUAUAAAUUGUUUCAAUUAUUAUUAUGAUUGUAUUUAAGUGCGUGCGCAUAAGUGUCAGCUUGUAAGUGCCUCUGUAUGUGUGUAUAUAAGUGUGUGUGUGGCUCUAAGAGACCAAAAAUUUACGACCCUCUGCCGGCGCAAGGGCGCAUAAAUAAGUUGAACAAGCAGCAGCAGAAGCAGCACACAACCAGAAAUGGCUCGUAAUAAUAAUAAUGUCGCACACAGGCAUAGAAACUUCUAUGUGUGUGUGUGUGUAGACUCAUGCUCGAUGGCAUAAAAACUACCGAAAUGGCAAUUGUGAAUAUUAAAAAAAAAAGGAGGCAAGAGAAUCGAGCUAACUGGCAAAGGCAGCCAAUGCAUAGAGAAGGCAAAGAAAACGAAUCGUUAGCUAAAGGCAUGCCAUAGCACAAUCAGCGGGGCUGAAACGGGACAGUCACAAACACACACACACACUCACACACACACACAUACACAUAGGGACUGAGAGAAAACAAUAAGUAUAUCCUAUGCAAUACAUAUAUAGCAAAAUGGUAAAACCACCCUCGUUUGCGCUGCCAUUCAGCUGGGAGUUGGGCGUUAGGGUGGCACAGGGCAGAAGA